Electrophorus electricus (electric eel) is the source of this 608-nucleotide long non-coding RNA. RefSeq lists it as uncharacterized. The record is from RefSeq and is a predicted model, not a curated record. NCBI's taxonomy places the organism in Eukaryota, Metazoa, Chordata, Actinopteri, Gymnotiformes, Gymnotidae.
CACGAACGUUUCAAAUCAUCCCUUCGCUUGCUUUCACCUCUCCCAUCUGGUUAAUCUAGCGGAAGAGGCACCCGUCACUUCAGCUCAGGCAUUCGCAUCAGAGUGAAACUUAUCUGCAGGAGUGAUCUUUAAUGUUUGCAUUAUCUACUUUUUUUUAUUUCUCCUUCGGGAAACUACACGUGUCACUGACGCGUUCUGUCUGACACCGCUUCGUUCACAACUCUCCCACGCAAACGGCUCGGCAAAAGACAUUCGCUCUGUACUUAUAUACAAUCUUUCAGGUUUUUUCCUCCUGAACCUCUCUGAUGGGGCCUCAUUAAUCAUUCCACUGCUCUUUCUUCACAUGGGAAGCAGUUCUCCAUUUUUUUUCUUCUUCCCCAACCACACCCCCUUUUUUCUGACAUGCUCACAUUUUUACUUAACAUCCAUGAAGCCCAACCCAUGUGCAUGGGUGUGGACAGAUGCCUAAAGCCAGUUUGCUCCAGUUUCUCAAACCAGAAGCACAUUCUUAUAAUUGCCUGUAUAGCAUGUAGGUGAGUACCAUGGCUUGGACCUACCAUCACCGCACUUUCCGAUCACAUGUCGGAGAAAUUGUCAGAAUAGGUGAU